UUUCCAGAAACUAUUGAAGCA
Molecule: non-coding RNA, 21 nt
Organism: Caenorhabditis elegans
Lineage: Eukaryota; Metazoa; Nematoda; Chromadorea; Rhabditida; Rhabditidae
Source: Ensembl